GGGUGCAGCAGGCGCGAAACCUUUGCAAUAGGCGAAAGCCUGACAGGGUUACUUUGAGUGAUUCCCGCUAAGGGGAUCUUUUGGCACCUAUAAAAAUGGUGCAGAAUAAGGGGUGGUGCAAGCCUGGUGUCAGCCGCCGCGGUUAUACUAGCACCCCGAGUGGUAGGGAUGAUUAUUGGGCGUAAAGCAUCUUUAGCCGGGCACCCAAGUCCUCCGUUAAAUCCACCCGGUCAACGGGUGGUCUGCGGAGGAUAUUAAGUGGCUAUGAGGUGGGAGAGGCUAGCGGUACUCAAUGUGUAGGGGUAACAUCCUAUGAUCCAUUGAAGACCUCCCGUGGCGAAGGUGGGUUGCCAGAACGCGCUUGACGGUGAGGGAUGAAAGCUGGGGGAGCAAACCGGAUUAGAUACCCGGGUAGUCCCAGCUGUAUAACGAUGCAGACUCGGUGAUGGGAUGGCCUCGAGCCAUCCCAGUGCCGCAGGGAAGCCGUUAAGUCUGCCGCCUGGGGAGUACGGUCGCAAGACUGAAACUUAAAGGAAUU
Molecule: ribosomal RNA, 538 nt
Filed under: uncultured archaeon
Lineage: Archaea
Description: bacterial SSU rRNA
Rfam family: Archaeal small subunit ribosomal RNA
Source: RNAcentral